Molecule: ribosomal RNA, 460 nt
Filed under: uncultured bacterium
Lineage: Bacteria
Description: partial 16S ribosomal RNA
Rfam family: Bacterial small subunit ribosomal RNA
Source: RNAcentral
CCUACGGGUGGCAGCAGUGAGGAAUAUUGGUCAAUGGGCGCAAGCCUGACCCAGCCAAGUCGCGUGAAGGAAGAAGGUUCUAUGGUUUGUAAACUUCUUUUAUAGGGGAGUAAAGGUCUCCACGUGUGGCGAUUAGCAUGUACCCUAUGAAUAAACAGCGGCUAACUCCGUGCCAGCAGCCGCGGUGAUGCGGGGGAUGCGAGCGUUAACCGGAUUUAUUGGGGUUAAAGGGUGCGUAGGGUGUUGUUUAAGGCAGCGGUGAAAGUGUGGGGCUCAACCAUAAAAUUGCCGUUGAAACUGGAAGUCUUGAGUGUGUGUGAGGUAGGCGGAAUGCGUGGUGUAGCGGUGAAAUGCAUAGAUAUAACGAAGAACUCCGAUUGCGAAGGCAACUUACUAAGCCACAACUGACACUGAAGCACGAAAGCGUGGGGAUCAAACAGGAUUAGAUACCCGGGUAGUC